GCAUAGGUGGUUCAGUGGUAGAAUUCUCGCCUGCGACGAGGGAGACCCGGGUCCGAUUCCGGCCAAUGCU
Danio rerio (zebrafish) is the source of this 70-nucleotide non-coding RNA. The record is from Rfam. Lineage: Eukaryota; Metazoa; Chordata; Actinopteri; Cypriniformes; Danionidae.